AGGCCAGAUGGGAAAAAAAGUAUGUGGAGAAUUGGGGAAUUGGCAGCCAAACUGAAGGAGAAAAUUGUGGCAAUCAUCGGAAAGUACGUGUGAGGAUGUGUUAUCACCCAGAAUGGAAGGAAAUUCCAGUGCUAAAUUGAAAAUGCAUACAACCAAACCGGAUGUGUUGACAUGGAAAAAGAAAGAUAUCAUGCAGCUGUCAGACAAAAGAAGGUGCCAAAAAGUCAGAAGCAGAAGGAAGGUCUGAGGAGCUGUCACAGAACCAGGGAAACCGAGGAGAUGGAACAGAAUGCACAGUUUGACUGAAGUUACAGAAAACUGUUAUGGCCAGUGUGUUUCCCACUGGCCAUUCCCCCAGAGU
Long non-coding RNA from Fukomys damarensis (Damara mole-rat), 361 nucleotides. RefSeq lists it as uncharacterized. NCBI's taxonomy places the organism in Eukaryota, Metazoa, Chordata, Mammalia, Rodentia, Bathyergidae. The record is from RefSeq and is a predicted model, not a curated record. The transcript has 4 exons.